This is a long non-coding RNA of Cyprinus carpio (common carp), 614 nucleotides long. RefSeq lists it as uncharacterized. The transcript is spliced from 3 exons. Lineage: Eukaryota; Metazoa; Chordata; Actinopteri; Cypriniformes; Cyprinidae. The record is from RefSeq and is a predicted model, not a curated record.
GAAUGGAUGUUAUUUGGCUGUGGCCACACCGUAAAAUUUGGAGCACUUACCGUGCCAGCGACUGUAAACUCCUCCAGGACGAAAUCCGACCGGGUGUGGAGUACCGACCUUAAAAAUCACUGAAGUGUGUGUAGUGCAGUGGGUGAGUCUGUCUUUGACGUGUGUACACCGAAGUUUUGCAGUGUUGUGCCGUGUCCCUGUUGUCUGUACUCGCCCUCCAGGCCGAGAAAAGUUCCUGUUGGAGAGAACGUAGGCUGCCGUGGCAGUGCCCACCUAUCCCACCUACGCCCGCCUAUAACUCCGUUCCCCGUACCUAGCCUGAAGGAGGUGAAGCGUGAAUGCAAAACAAGGGACUUGUGUGUUACCUUGUACUUACCUAGGAGGUCUAUGGGAGUGGAGGAGCUGUCCAGACGCUGGAGAAGAGAAGGGCGCCACGGGAAAUCAAGCCGCUAAGGAAGGACUUAGGAUCAGUCAGGAGAUUGGUGGGAGUUCUGUGAAAGGACGAAAGAGCCCUUUGCCCCCCCCCAACGACCUCCAGAGUUCUCAGGCCCAGUCCCCUCCUGUCAAGAGACGAAAAUCCAAAUUUUAGAUUCCCCUUUCUCCUUUCCUAAAUU